This 1497-nucleotide ribosomal RNA is filed under the name Triticum aestivum (bread wheat). Its description in RNAcentral is "partial small subunit ribosomal RNA". Lineage: Eukaryota; Viridiplantae; Streptophyta; Magnoliopsida; Poales; Poaceae. The record is from RNAcentral.
AUGCCCGUGACUUCUGAGGGUUACCUUCUUCUGUCAAGGAAUGUCGUUUCUGUAGAUGUUAACAAGAGCCUGAAUGUUCUCCUAGAGGCCUGCUUACCAUCUGGUCAUAUCAUUGCACAAAAAGAAUUGUCCUUCGAACCCAAACUUUGCAACAUAAGUCAGGAUAGUUGUGAACUUAAUGGUAUUGAGUUGGAGAUCACUGUUGCUUGGUCUAGUCUUGUUUGUGAGAAGCAGGAUAUUUGGGUACAAGGAUGUGUUGGUGACGAGGAGCAGGACUGGGACGUUGCAUCAAUGGAGCAGCAGGUGCCGGAGAUAGACUCGAAAUUGACAUCGGAGGUGGGGCCAGAGGGGGAAACAGAGUCGGCGAUGAGUCUGGAUACCAGUGAAUUGGCGAAUGAAUCGAGUACCUCCAUGUUCGUAUCAGACAAGUCAAUACUCGAACCUGCAGAUUAUGUUGCCGCCAACACAGGUUACGAUGUUGAGAAGAUGUAUAGAGGCAAAUCAGACGAACAAUUAAAAAUUGAGGCCAAGGAGAUGGCUGCCGAACAGAAGAGUUUUGACAUGUAUGUUGAUGCCUGGGAAGGGUCAUGGGGUUAUGAUGGGUUCGGUUGCUUCCGAGACAUGACGACAGUGAGUUCCAUGCAAUACACACACUUGGUACCAGGGAGCACCCCGUUGCACUAUGGUCGAGUAUUGCACUAUGGUCGAGUAUUGCCUAGCCUGCAGAUCUUCUCCGUUAAACUCGCAGAAAUACGAGGUGGUCUGGAAUGGCCGUUGCCAGUGUACGGCACGGUCGCUGCCCGAGACCAUGUGGAUCACAAUCGCAACCUUCUGUUUGCCCGCAACAGGAGUGAGUGCCAGAUACUCAAUGAAGAGGAUUCCUUUUUGACCUUGACUGGCCCCUCUCAUGCAAUUGUCAGCAAGGAAUCUGUUGUCUUUGAAAUCCAACUAAAAGUAAGAGGUAGAACAAAGUCUCAAGAUAAGCCACUGAUCAAUGGCGUGUACACUUACCACAGCAGAGAAAGCCCCAUUUGCUUUAGGAACUGCUUUUGCACCGUAGAGUUAAGUUUGGAGAGAAUUAAGAAAUCAGUGCAGGCCACUAUUUUGGGCGUCCGUGUCAAAGAGGAGGGGUCAUGGCCAGCAUUCGGAGGUCGAGUUGCUUGCUCAGUCAUUGGACCUGACGCCAGCCCUCAGGAAAUUGAGCUGCUAGAUUCUCGUUAUACAACCGUGCCGAUUACUUCUCAGGGUUACCUUGUUCUAUCAAGGAAUGUUGUCUCUGUAGACUACUGCGGAAGCCUGAAUUUUCUCUUGGAAGCCUACUCAGAUUCUGGUAAUAAAGUUGCACAAAAAAAUGAGUCCUUCGAGCCCAAGUUUUCCAACAUAAGCCAGCAAACAAGUAAACUCACUGGAGGCAUUGAGUUGGAGAUCACUGUUGCAUGGUCCAGUCUCAUUUCUGAGAAGUGGGACAUCUCUUAUGGCGAGGACUGCAAUUUGUGA